CACGUAGGGCGCAAGCGUUGUCCGGAAUUAUUGGGCGUAAAGAGCUCGUAGGCGGUCCGUCACGUCCGCUGUGAAAACCCAGGGCUCAACCCUGGGCUUGCAGUGGAUACGGGCAGACUAGAGGUAGGUAGGGGAGAAUGGAAUUCCUGGUGUAGCGGUGAAAUGCGCAGAUAUCAGGAGGAACACCGGUGGCGAAGGCGGGUCUCUGGGCCGAUACUGACGCUGAGGAGCGAAAGCGUGGGGAGCGAACAGG
This 253-nucleotide ribosomal RNA is filed under the name uncultured bacterium. RNAcentral describes it as "partial 16S ribosomal RNA". It matches the Rfam family "Bacterial small subunit ribosomal RNA", at positions 524 to 776 of the family's 1533-position model. The record is from RNAcentral.